This 154-nucleotide unclassified non-coding RNA is filed under the name uncultured Ascomycota. Its description in RNAcentral is "sequence contains ITS1". Lineage: Eukaryota; Fungi; Ascomycota. The record is from RNAcentral.
CAAGAGUGAGGGUCCUUCGGGGCCCAAACCUCCAACCCCAUGUUUUCCGACUCUGUUGCCUCGGGGGCGACCCGGCCCUCCUGGGCGUCGGGGCCCCCGGUGGUCCAUCUCAACCCUGCAUCUGUGCGUCUGAGUAAAUAUUUUGAAUCAAUCA